GAUGAAGAACGCAGCGAAAUGCGAUACUUGGUGUGAAUUGCAGAAUCCCGUGAACCAUCGAGUCUUUGAACGCAAGUUGCGCCCGAAGCCAUCAGGUUGAGGGCACGUCUGCCUGGGCGUCACAUAUCGUUGCCCAAUGCCUAUUGCAGUGCAAUAGGAAUUUCUAGGGCGAAUGAUGGCUUCCCGUGAGCGUUGUUGCCUCGCGGUUGGUUGAAAAUCGAGUCCUUGGUAGGGUGUGCCAUGGUAGAUGGUGGUCGAGUUAGAACGAUACCGAUCAUGUGCAUGCUCCCCAAAAUAUGGCCUCUAUGACCCACACGCGUCUUUUGUCGCUCAUGACGAGACCUCAGGUCAGGCGGGGCUACCCGCUGAAUUUAAGCAUAUCAAUACGCGGAGGA
This 395-nucleotide unclassified non-coding RNA is filed under the name soil metagenome. RNAcentral's name for it is "partial contains 5.8S ribosomal RNA, internal transcribed spacer 2, and large subunit ribosomal RNA". The stretch from base 1 to 122 matches the Rfam family "5.8S ribosomal RNA", at positions 35 to 154 of the family's 154-position model. The record is from RNAcentral.